GUUCUACUGCGGCGUUGGUGACUGCCAACAAAGUUUUAUGAUCUUGCUUUGUUGUUAAGGGAGCUUAAAUAAGUUCAGUGGCAGUAUACCGGGCAUGUUCUCGGAAACUUUAAACUGAUCAGCGGCUCCCACCUGGGUAUUCCAGGUCAAAAACUGAGGUAAGACGGCGCUGCGGGGAACA
Molecule: non-coding RNA, 181 nt
Filed under: Oculatellaceae cyanobacterium Prado106
Lineage: Bacteria; Bacillati; Cyanobacteriota; Cyanophyceae; Oculatellales; Oculatellaceae
Description: 6S RNA
Rfam family: 6S / SsrS RNA
About the family: E. coli 6S RNA was the first non coding RNA to be sequenced, but its function was unknown until recently. It consists of 184 nucleotides that fold into an extended hairpin structure with a large single-stranded internal bulge. The 6S RNA specifically associates with RNA polymerase holoenzyme containing the sigma70 specificity factor.
Source: RNAcentral